UACGUAGGGUGCAAGCGUUGUCCGGAAUUAUUGGGCGUAAAGCGCGCGUAGGCGGCUACUUAAGUCGGAUGUGAAAGCCCCUGGCUCAACUGGGGAAGUGCACCCGAAACUGAGUAGCUAGAGUGCAAAAGAGGGUCGCGGAAUUCCCGGUGUAGAGGUGAAAUUCGUAGAUAUCGGGAGGAACACCGGUGGCGAAGGCGGCGACCUGGGUUGACACUGACGCUGAGGCGCGAAAGCGUGGGGAGCAAACAGG
RNAcentral lists this ribosomal RNA (253 nucleotides) under uncultured bacterium. Its description in RNAcentral is "partial 16S ribosomal RNA". It matches the Rfam family "Bacterial small subunit ribosomal RNA", at positions 524 to 776 of the family's 1533-position model. The record is from RNAcentral.